RNAcentral lists this unclassified non-coding RNA (422 nucleotides) under Hohenbergia sp. JAS-2016. Its description in RNAcentral is "partial 26S-18S rRNA external transcribed spacer". Lineage: Eukaryota; Viridiplantae; Streptophyta; Magnoliopsida; Poales; Bromeliaceae. The record is from RNAcentral.
CAUGUCCACACAUGAGCAGUCACGGAUUGGUGUCCCGCGGACUCCUUGCCUCUCGCAAUCAACCACCGAAGAGGCCAUCCUUCUUAGUCCUGUGCUCAUUUGUAUCUUUAGGCCAUCCUUUUUAGUCAUGUGCAUUGCGUGUGCCAUCUACCCAGCUCUGUAGGAAGUCAACAUACCCUAUGUGCCAGUUCGCCUCACCACCUCGAGCGGGAGGCACAACCACAAUGUGGUCGUCGCGCGCAUCUUAACGACACAACCCUUGGGCCCCAUGCUAGCUGGGCUCCUGAAGUAUCACAAGCUCUUGCGAAUGUAGCAGGCUUCGGGGACUUCGACCGUCAGCCUAGACCUUGGUAGGUCAUUAAGCCACCCUCGUCGAGAAAACGGUCUAUCCACCGACRGGCCCCCUCCGUUCCCUGCGGGCG